GCUGCUGCUCUCUGCCUAACCUCCCCACGCCUCUGUUGUUCUUGCCCAAACCAUGCUGUUACUCCUUAUCUGAACCUACUGUUGCUAAUGCGCUCUGCUGCUUCUUCUCCCAUGUCACUGUUGCUGCUCUUCUUUUCUUUCCCCUACUGCUGCUCCUUCUCUGAACCUCACGAUGCUGCUCCAUCUCCUAAACGCUGCUGCUCCCAACUCCCUGUUGCUAUCUCUCUCUACUUCCCCUGCUACUCUUCUUCUCUAAACCUACCUGCUGCUCUCUCUCUCUCUCUCUCUCUCUCAAAUUUCUGUAACUUUGAGAAGUUUAUUGUUCAGUACUUUGUAAUAUUCAGCAUUGAGAUGUUUUAUUACAUGUAAUAUUCAGAUUUGUUAAGUGUAAUAUCCUACUAUUUGGUUCAGUUUCGAAGUUCAAUAUAAAUGCUUGAUUCGUAUGUCCUUUGUCCUGACUAGUUGAUACCUUGUCACUUUGAGAAAUAUUUGACUUGUCAUACUUUGUUUAGUGAAACAGUAUUCUUCAUAUGUGUGUGGUGUCCUAUGAUAUAUAUACAUAUGUGUGUGUUUGUAAUGUGAGUUAUAUCAAUUCUGUCGUAUAUCCAUGAUUCUUCUCUCUGUACAUGUUAGAUAAACCAAUGUGUUCUAGUCUUGUUGAUUCUCUUGUGUGAUGAUGUUCGCCUGUGUUAGUGUUCUAAUUUCUCAAGCAUAUAGAAAAUACCAAAAAGAGAGUGAGUGCAAUCUUAAUCUCCCUAUGUUGUUCUGCAUUUUCUUUGUCAUCAACCUUGUUUAGUUUAGGUUUAUUUUCUUACAUUCAUAAUCUGAAUUGUGUUACCUAGCUUUAGCCGAGCAUAGUUGCCGUCGCCUAGUCCCUGUGGAGAACACGACAUCCGUAGUUUGGGGCGUAAAAACCCUGCUAUACUUUCAAUAGAUUAUUUUGCCACCGUUGCCGGGGACUAGCGUCGAGCGAUUAUGUUAGGCUAUAGACUAGAUUUACUUUAGUUCCUUGUUCAAUUCGUCGUGUUUUUCAUUUUCAGUGUUUUUCCUCUACUUUCCCCCAUUGUUGCUUCGGCUUAUUAGGAUACUAACCUUCCAACUAGUGUUUACUGUUUAUGAGUGUGUGUAGGGAAUCAUAAAUCUUUGGUGGUUGUUCUAUAGUUACACUUGGUUAAGAUAUGGCAUUGCUUCGUGAUCUGUGGAUGCCAAGUAGUCAAUGUUAUAUCACAGGACCGGUUUGGCCAACUAUUGAGGUAGAGAAUUUUGAGAUGAAGCCUCGUCUUAUUGCUUUGGUUCAACAACAACAGUUUGGAGGACUGCCCACUGAGGAUCCUUAUGAGCACUUAUACCGAGUCAUGGAGUAUUCAGGUCCAGUCAAGUACCAUGGAGUUCCUCAAGAUGCUAUCAAGUGCAUGCUAUUCUCAUUCUCCCUCCGCGAUGAUGCUCGUGCUUUGGUAUCGAUCCUUUCCAUCAAGGUCAUACAGUUGGAAUGAGAUAUCGCGAGCUUUCUUGGAUAAAUAUUUACCACUACACAAGCAGUCCACAAUUCGAGAUGCGAUCUUCAAUUUCGUUCAGCGUGAAGGCGAGAGCUUGUAUGAUGCUUGGGAGAGAUACAAAGCCUUAUUCAGGAGAUGUCCUAAUCAUGGGCUCGAGAGAUGGUUAGAGUUGCAGAUAUUCUAUAGAGGAUUGACUUCGAACACUCGAGUUUAUGUCGAUAUGGUAGCGGGUGGAGCUAUUACAAACAAGACACUUGAUGAAGCUUUUCUGCUGAUUGAGAGCAUAGCUUUCCACCAACUUCAGUGGUACAAUAAGAAGCCCACAUCUGAUUCAUUGGUUUGCUUGCAAAAAAUCACUACACCUCAACCACCAAUUCUUACACAAAAGCCCGAGCCUCUAUCUCAGUUUGACAAGGUUGAGCUUGCAUGGAUUAUAUUUGACGAUGAUGACACCAUUCUAGUGGACACACACGCUACAGAUCAUCUAGAUACUAGUGUUGGAGAUUCAGUUUUGCAUUGUGAUGAUUCUUCCAUGGAUGAGCCAGAGCUGCAGUUCGUUGCUUUUGAUAUUGAGGAGUCACCUUUAGUUGAUAUUGAUCAUGUGCUGCUAGAGCCAGAUAUGAAAUAGUUCGCCUUUGAUGAUGUUAGCCGCAUUGAUUCUUCAACACUGGAGCCUGAGAUGGAGAGCUUCAUGGUUGAUUAUGGUGAGGUGGAUUCAGAUGUCAAGGAGUCAAGCUCUAUUUCACUUGUUGACACAAGUGCGGUGGAAAUUUCUACUACCACACCUCACUUGGUAUCUUCAAUUGAGGUAGUCCUGAAGCUUCUUCCCAAGUAUCUUAGGUAUGAUAUCAGCUUUCUCGACAAGAUAUGCCAUAUCAUGGAUACAGCCUAUGCACCAUGCGAUUUAUUGAUGAUAUCUAUUUAUCAUAUGCUCAAUAGAUAUGCUUAUGUGAUAGGAUACUCUAUUGAUGACAUAGAGGGUAUUGUCCCUAUCAUUUGUAUUGGCUUGGUUGUUCAGUGUGCUUUCAGGUUUAUGCUUGUGCACCAUUCAUUGCGGGCUAACCAAGUUCAAGAUGACAUUCCCUGGGAUCUUGGUGGAUUCACGGCAUGGUGAUGAGGAUAAGCAAGGAGCACACAUGAAGAGAGAAGCUGGAGCAUGCAUGAGGAAGCAAAAGGAGAGGAGUCGCAAUGCACGAGGAUGUGGGAGUGAUCGAGUGAGACCUACAUCAAAGCCCGGUGAGCUGUUCCGUGACCCAUUCUGAAUAUCAUAAAUACAUGCUGAAUUCAAUUGCUAGUUGGGUUGCCUGAGCUAGUUAUUACUUGUUGUCAAGCUGAAAUUCACCUUUGGCAUUGUGCUUGAUGUGAAUUUGUGAACUUGAUUUCUGAAUGCCUUGUAAACUAGUGAUCUACACCAUGCAUGCUUUGCUGAAAUUUGUGGAAGUUAUUAGUUUUGAGUGCUCAAAUCCUAAGUACACUAGAAAACAAUCAUUUUCUGUUUUUACCUUGAUACACCUAGAUCACCAUGUUUAGAUGCUGAAUUUGUGCUAAGUGUGUUCCCAUUGAGAGCAAUCACCUAACCACUAUGGAUUAGCAUGCUAUGUUCCCUAGAUCGGUAGCAUGUGAACCAGACAUGGGGAAGUGAUGAUUCCUAUUUUUGUUCUUAUGCAUUGUUCAUUUAAGAUAAAUAAUAAUGAAUAAAUAAGUCUGGCUACCUACAGUAGCAUGUCAUGUUCCCGGGAUCGGUGGCAUGUGAAAUCGGGUUAGCUUGGGCAGUAAUUAAUAAUAAUAAAAAUGUAAUUGUUGAACCAGGUGUAUACCAUGUUCUCGGGAUCGGUGGUAUGUUCCUUUGGGGAGACAAACAAAAAAAUUAAUAAAAAUUGGUUGAGCCAGGUGUAUACCAUGUUGUCGGGAUCGGUGGUAUGUUCCUUCGGUGAGACUAAUAAAAUAAUAUGUGUGUUUCUUUCAAAUUCAAUAAGUGGUUCAACCACAAAGUCAUAUUUCUGCAAAUAAGAGAUUUAAUUCUAGUUCUUUUUGUUCUCGGGAUCAUGCUCUCUUUAGGAACCAUUUGGCGCAGUCAUCAUUUAAACUUGUUGAUCCUCUUUUAUCACUGUAAAAGUUUAAAAUGGUCAUGCUUACUAGUAUCCUACUGCUUUGUAGCACUCCUAACCAUUAAUUUUCACUAGCUAAGUCUGAAGCAUGCCUUGUUUGGAGAUCUAUUUUACCAGGACAUUCCUUACUCAGUUUACUGUUCAUUAUCUUGCCUUUGUCAUAUUCCUUUGCUUGAGGACAAGCAAAGAUUUAAGUGUGGGGGAACUUGAUAAGUGCAUUUCAUAUAUAUAAUUUGGCACUCAAAUUUAGCAUCUAUCGUGAUAUAUCCAUCCAUUCUUACUAUGAACUGUGAUAUAUUUGGAUAAAAAUCAUAUAAAAGAUCAUUUACUACUCAGUGGUUUGUUUUGCAAAAAAGUGCGAGAAGGCACUAUAAAUCUUCAUGAUUCCGACAUUGAGGAUAACUAUACGAGAUAAGGGCAGGAAAGAAGAAGAAGAACAAGACAAGAAGCUAGAAGAGAUGAAGAAAGGACUUGGGUGAGAAGAAACGAAGUAAGCAGAGGGGCAAGUUAAAGGAGAGAGGGACCUUCUUGUGAAGGAAGAAGAAAAGGAGAAGGGCCAAUGUGCAAAUGGGCAGAUCUGAUCGAAGGGGAACAAAAUCCCUAGCGGCAUCCUUCUUUCUCCUUGGGCCUGGCAUCUCAUCUCUCUCCUUCUCCCCUUCUUCUCCACCACCAGCCGCCGCCACGGCCAAGCCGGCGUGGUGGUGCGCCUCCGCAGCCCAUCCAUCCACCAGAACCACCAUCACACGGCCAUCCCACCACAGCACCCAUCUCCAUCCACCAGCGUUGCAUCACCACCUCGCGCCAUCCAUCUCCCACCUCCAGCACCACCACGCCUCAACCCCACGCUCGUGCGCCCAACCAGACGAGGCGUCUGGUGCCCUACGCGACUCUCCCUGCCCCCUACUUAUUCUGUUGUUGCUCUUCUUGUUGCGCCUGACCUUUGCUGCUCCUUCUUCCCCUACAUUGCUGCUGCUCUCUGCCUAACCUCCCCAUGCCUCUGUUGUUCUUCUUGCCCAAACCAUGAUGUUACUCCUUAUCUGAACCUACUGUUGCCACUGCGCUCUGCUGCUUCUUCUCCCAUGUCACUGUUGCUGCUCUUCUUUUCUUUCCCCUACUGCUGCUCCUUCUCUGAACCUCACGAUGCUGCUCCAUCUCCUAAACGCUGCUGCU
This 4774-nucleotide long non-coding RNA is filed under the name Triticum aestivum (bread wheat). Its description in RNAcentral is "long non-coding RNA (TAES_LNC003005)". The record is from RNAcentral. Lineage: Eukaryota; Viridiplantae; Streptophyta; Magnoliopsida; Poales; Poaceae.